UUAUGCUUGUCUCACAGAUUAAGCCAUGCAUGUCUAAGUACAAGCCUCACUAAGGUGAAACCGCGAAUGGCUCAUUAUAUCACACCUAAUCUACUGGAUAGUUAACAGUUACUUGGAUAACUGCGGUAAUUCUGGAGCUAAUACAUGCACAAAGCCCCGAACUUACGUGAGGGGCGCUUUUAUUAGAUCAAAACCAAACGGCCUCGGCUGUUUUCUUGGUGACUCUGAAUAACUUUGGGCUGAUCGCAUAGCCUAGCGCUGGCGACAUAUCCUUCGAAGGUGUGCCCUAUCAACUGUCGACUGUGGCAUAGACGCCCACAGUGGUUUUGACGGGUAACGGGGAAUCAGGGUUCGAUUCCGGAGAGGGAGCCUUAAAAACGGCUACCACAUCUAAGGAAGGCAGCAGGCACGCAAAUUACCCAAUGAACGAAGUUCGAGGUAGUGACGAAAAAUAACGAUACAGGACUCAUCUGAGGCCCUGUAAUCGGAAUGAGUACACUUUAAAACCGUCCCCGAGGAUCUAUUGGAGGGCAAGUCUGGUGCCAGCAGCCGCGGUAAUUCCAGCUCCAAUAGCGUAUAUUAAAGUUGUUGUGGUUAAAAAGCUCGUAGUUGGAUCUCGGCGGUCUGAGGGCGGUUCACUUCGUAGUGCUACUGCCC
RNAcentral lists this ribosomal RNA (657 nucleotides) under Drepanopus forcipatus. RNAcentral describes it as "SSU rRNA". It matches the Rfam family "Eukaryotic small subunit ribosomal RNA", at positions 26 to 681 of the family's 1831-position model. Lineage: Eukaryota; Metazoa; Arthropoda; Copepoda; Calanoida; Clausocalanidae. The record is from RNAcentral.